Molecule: ribosomal RNA, 1581 nt
Filed under: Triticum aestivum (bread wheat)
Lineage: Eukaryota; Viridiplantae; Streptophyta; Magnoliopsida; Poales; Poaceae
Description: partial small subunit ribosomal RNA
Source: RNAcentral
AUGGCAGAAACCCGCUACGAUGCAGAAGAAGAGGUGAACGACCACCCAAUCGAGGAGGUCCGGAACACGGUGCCGAUAACCGACGACCCGUCGGAGCCGUCCCUGACGAUCCGAACAUGGGUGCUGGGGAUGUCGUCCUGCAUGCUUCUGGCCUUCGUCAACGAGUUCUUCAUGUACCGGUCCAACCAGCUGAGCAUCGGCACGGUGUUGGUGCAGAUCGCCACCCUGCCCAUCGGCCGGUUCAUGGCGUCGGCGCUGCCGGCGAAGCUCAUACGCGUCCCGCUCAUCGGCUGGUCCUUCAGCCUCAACCCGGGCCCUUUCAGCCUCAAGGAGCACUGCCUCAUCACCAUCUUCGCCGGCGCGGGCGCCAGCGGCGUCUAUGCAAUGAAUAUCAUCGCCAUCGUCAAGGUCUUCUACAAACGGCAGAUCAACCCCUACGCGGCCAUGCUGCUCGCGCAGACAACUCAGUUGCUUGGGUACGGAUGGGCUGGCUUGUUUAGGACGUACCUGGUGGAUUCAGCCUACAUGUGGUGGCCUCUAAACCUUGUCCAGGUCACCCUGUUCAGGGCGAUGCACGAGGAGGAGAAGAGGCCCAAGGGGCAGCUGACACGGCUGCAAUUCUUCAUCAUCGUGCUGGUCUGCAGCUUCGCCUACUACCUGAUCCCCAGCUACCUGUUCCCGGCGGCCAGCACCUUCUCGGCGCUCUGCUGGUUCUUCAAGGACUCUGUGACGGCGCAGCAGAUCGGCUCCGGCCUCAAGGGCCUCGGCCUCGGCUCCUUCGGCCUCGACUGGAACACCGUCGCCGGGUUCAUCGGCAACCCGCUCGCCUCCCCGGCGUUCGCCAUCUUCAACAUCAUGGUCGGCUUCUCCCUCAGCAACUAUUUAACGCUGCCGCUCCUCUACUGGACUAACACCUACAAUGCCAAGCGCUUCCCCAUCAUUUCGUCGCACGUCUUCGACGCUGCCGGCGGCCGCUAUGACACCAACCGCAUCCUCGACCCCAAGACCUUCACGCUCAACCUCCACGAGUACAACGCCUACAGCCGCAUUAACCUCAGCGUGCUCUUCGCCAUCAACUACGGAUUCGGCUUUGCUGGCCUCAUGUCCACGCUCUCACAUGUUGCGCUCUACCAUGGCAAGGAGAUUUUUGAUCUAUGGUGGAAGGCAGCGUCAGAGAAGGGCAAGGAGCACGAUGUGCACACCAGGAUCAUGAAGAGGAACUACAGGUCUGUUCCGCAGUGGUGGUUCCACCUAAUGUUGGUCCUCGUGCUGGCUCUGUCAUUGUUCACAUGUGAGGGUUUUGGAGGACAGUUGCAACUACCAUAUUGGGGACUCCUCCUCGCUUGUGCCAUCGCCUUAACCUUCACGCUACCCAUCGGCAUCAUCACUCCAACGACAAAUAUGCAACCUGGAUUAAAUAUCAUCACCGAGCUCAUCAUCGGGUACCUCUACCCUGGGAAUCCAUUGGCCAAUGUAGUAUUCAAGACGUGCGGCUACAUAAGCAUGGGGCAGGCACUAACAUUCGUGUCGGAUUUCAAGCUUGGGCAUUACAUGAAGAUACCCCAAGGUCCAUGUUCUUAG